CGGGAGAGCAGAGCGACGACCUGUCCCCCUCUUCGGAAAGAGAAAUUUCCCUAGAGAGACAGAGGGGGAGACGGUGAGUAAAUUGUUUGCUUGGAGAAAAUAAAAAAAUUCAAGGAGAGAAAUUAUAGCUUUAAACCUGUAAUUCAAUCGAGGGUUUGAGAGAGAUCUCCGCAAGCGCGCGCGCGCACACACAUGGAUCAGAUACUGAACAAGGUUGGAUCUUAUUGGUUGGGCCAGAGGGCCAACAAGGAGCUCAAUUCCGUCGGCGAUGAUAUUAACUCAUUUUCAAGCAGUAUUGGAGGAGGAACCAAAUGGUUAGUCAACAAAAUAAAAGGA
RNAcentral lists this unclassified non-coding RNA (336 nucleotides) under Hevea brasiliensis (rubber tree). Lineage: Eukaryota; Viridiplantae; Streptophyta; Magnoliopsida; Malpighiales; Euphorbiaceae. The record is from RNAcentral.